RNAcentral lists this ribosomal RNA (468 nucleotides) under uncultured bacterium. RNAcentral's name for it is "partial 16S ribosomal RNA". It matches the Rfam family "Bacterial small subunit ribosomal RNA", at positions 28 to 507 of the family's 1533-position model. The record is from RNAcentral.
GACGAACGCUGGCGGCGUGCUUAACACAUGCAAGUCGAGCGGAAAGGCGCUGCUUUUGUGGGGUGCUCGAGUGGCGAGCGGGUGAGUAACACGUGAGUAUCCUGCCCUUGACUGUGUGAUAACUUCAGGAGACUGCGGAUAAUACCGGAUAGGAGCUCCUGCAGCAUGGUGGUGGUUGGAAAGUUUCGGCGGUAGGGGAUAGACUCGCGGCUUAUCAGCUUGUUGGUCGGGUAGUGGCUUACCAAGGCAUUGACGGAUAGCCGGCCUGGGAGCGUAGACAGGCACCAGGCUCCUACGGGACGGACCAGACUGGUACGUGAGGCAGUGGGCGAAAGCAUGACACAGCGAGGGCACGUCUGUUGCGAAGAUGUUCGGAUCGUAAAGCCCGCUUACUGGGGAUAAACCGCUGUCGCCUGAGACGUAGCGGUAGUGACGGUACCGAGUAAAGAAGCACCGGCUAACUACGUG